Colius striatus (speckled mousebird) is the source of this 251-nucleotide long non-coding RNA. RefSeq lists it as uncharacterized. The record is from RefSeq and is a predicted model, not a curated record. Lineage: Eukaryota; Metazoa; Chordata; Aves; Coliiformes; Coliidae. The transcript is spliced from 3 exons.
AAUGAAACUCCAGGAAGAGUUUAGACAAGCUGAAUGUAACUACUCAAAUUGGAAUUUGGCCAAUGCACCGCAGACUUGGAUCAAGAGGAGGAAGAAGAUUUUAUUGAUGCUCCCCCAACACAUGGGCUGUGUUCACCAACGUCUGUCCUGCAGGGAGAUGGUAGAGAUGCAGCUCCUUUCUGAGUAGAGCGGAAGAGCUGGCAAGCUUAGACACUACCAGUGCUUUGUGGAAGCAGACAUAUGAAUUUGUU